UACGGAGGGUGCGAGCGUUGUUCGGAUUUAUUGGGCGUAAAGCGCGUGUAGGCGGUUUUAUAAGUCUGAUGUGAAAGCCCCGGGCUCAACCUGGGAAGUGCAUUGGAUACUGUAAGACUUGAAUACGGGAGAGGGCAGUGGAAUUCUUAGUGUAGGAGUGAAAUCCGUAGAGAUUAGGAGGAACACCGGUGGCGAAGGCGGCUGCCUGGACCGAUAUUGACGCUGAGACGCGAAAGCGUGGGGAGCAAACAGG
RNAcentral lists this ribosomal RNA (253 nucleotides) under uncultured bacterium. Its description in RNAcentral is "partial 16S ribosomal RNA". It matches the Rfam family "Bacterial small subunit ribosomal RNA", at positions 524 to 776 of the family's 1533-position model. The record is from RNAcentral.